This 387-nucleotide RNase P RNA is filed under the name Gloeobacter violaceus SpSt-379. Its description in RNAcentral is "RNase P RNA component class A". It matches the Rfam family "Bacterial RNase P class A". Rfam says of the family: Ribonuclease P (RNase P) is a ubiquitous endoribonuclease, found in archaea, bacteria and eukarya as well as chloroplasts and mitochondria. Its best characterised activity is the generation of mature 5'-ends of tRNAs by cleaving the 5'-leader elements of precursor-tRNAs. Lineage: Bacteria; Bacillati; Cyanobacteriota; Cyanophyceae; Gloeobacterales; Gloeobacteraceae. The record is from RNAcentral.
AGGAGGUGGCGCGGUGGUCGCGGGUCGGGCAACCGGCCUGAGGAAAGUCCGGGCUCCCCAACGAGCGGAUUGCUGGGUAACGCCCAGUGCGCGUGAGCGUGAGGACAGUGCCACAGAAACAUACCGCCGAUGGCUGCACUGCGAUCUGUGGGUUGCAGUGCGGAUCAGGUAAGGGUGCAAAGGUGCGGUAAGAGCGCACCAGCGACAUCGAGAGGUGUCGGCUCGGUAAACCCCGUCCUGAGCAAGGCGUGGGGACGCAUGGGUUGCUCGUUGACCGUCCCCCGACAAGCCGCACGAGGCGCCAGGUAACUGGCGUCCCAGAGAGAUGACCGCCCGCCGCGGGCAACCGCGGCUGAACAGAACCCGGCUUACGACUGCCUCCUCCAC